UACAGAGGGUGCGAGCGUUAAUCGGAAUUACUGGGCGUAAAGCGCACGUAGGUGGCGACGUAAGUCGGGUGUGAAAGCCCCGGGCUCAACCUGGGAAUUGCAUUCGAGACUGCAUUGCUGGAGUACGGAAGAGGAGGGCGGAAUUCCCGGUGUAGCGGUGAAAUGCGUAGAUAUCGGGAGGAACAUCAGUGGCGAAGGCGGCCCUCUGGUCCAGUACUAACACUCAAGUGCGAAAGCGUGGGGAGCAAACAGG
This 253-nucleotide ribosomal RNA is filed under the name uncultured bacterium. Its description in RNAcentral is "partial 16S ribosomal RNA". It matches the Rfam family "Bacterial small subunit ribosomal RNA", at positions 524 to 776 of the family's 1533-position model. The record is from RNAcentral.